AGAAUUGAGUAAUAUCCUUCAUGGUGUAUGGAAGGAUUAUCAUCCCCAAGAAAGGAGUUGAGUCUACAGCCCCUGUGGCACUGAAUUUGUAUGGAUAUACUCUACGAUCGGUCUGCCUCUUCGUUAUCAUUUUCAGUCCUGCAUUUCCUAAAUUAUUAUCUUUUUACUGUUUCAUAGUCUUAUUUUGGUAGAGAAGAAUAGAAUGUGCAUAUGAUGUAAAGACAGGGCAGUGCAAGUUUGGUAUCACCUGUAAUUUCAUCAUCCACAUCCUGCUAGCCGUAUACCAAUGACAGCUUCAGCAGCUAUGUAUCCAACUGGACAGUCUCCUAUUCAAUCUUCUCAUCAAGGAAACUUGCCAGUUUGGCCUGCUACGCUUCAAGGCUCUUAUGUUCCUAUAAUCCUUCCUCCUGGAUUUGUUCCUGUUUCUGGCUUGCCUCCCUAUCAGGUGGUGCCUGUUAGUCCGGCUGCGUCACCAAGUACUCAGCCAACAAUUGGUGCAACCACCGGUUCAUGGACUAACAGAGUUUUCUCCUUGGCCUGCUACAUCUUCUGCGGGCUCCUCGAGGGGAAGUACAACGGUAGAAGCAUUUCCCGAUAGACCCGGCCAGCCAGAAUGUCUGUACUGUCUAAGGACUGGGGAUUGUAAAUUUGGAACUACGUGUAGGUUUCACCAUCCACCAGUGUGGAGUUUGUCAAGGACCAGAGUAUGUACUUAGCGCAGUGGGUCUGCCACUACGUCCAGGUGCACCACUUUGUU
This is a long non-coding RNA of Salvia splendens (bonfire salvia), 757 nucleotides long. RefSeq lists it as uncharacterized. The transcript is spliced from 3 exons. The record is from RefSeq and is a predicted model, not a curated record. Lineage: Eukaryota; Viridiplantae; Streptophyta; Magnoliopsida; Lamiales; Lamiaceae.